AUACGGAGGAUCCGAGCGUUAUCCGGAUUUAUUAGGUUUAAAGGGUGCGCAGGCGGAACUGUAAGUCACCGGUGAAAUCCUACAGCUUAACUGUAGAACUGCCGGUGAUACUGCGAUUCUUGAGUAUAGUUGAGGUAGGCGGAAUGUGUAGUGUAGCGGUGAAAUGCAUAGAUAUUACACAGAACACCGAUUGCGAAGGCAGCUUACUAAACUAUUACUGACGCUCAUGCACGAAAGCGUGGGGAGCGAACAGGAGUAGAAACCCCGGUAGUCC
Molecule: ribosomal RNA, 274 nt
Filed under: uncultured bacterium
Lineage: Bacteria
Description: partial 16S ribosomal RNA
Rfam family: Bacterial small subunit ribosomal RNA
Source: RNAcentral